This 84-nucleotide ribosomal RNA is filed under the name Acidobacteriota bacterium. Its description in RNAcentral is "partial 23S ribosomal RNA". It matches the Rfam family "Bacterial large subunit ribosomal RNA", at positions 2842 to 2925 of the family's 2925-position model. Lineage: Bacteria; Pseudomonadati; Acidobacteriota. RNAcentral also lists the same sequence under 1 other name. The record is from RNAcentral.
AGAUGACGAGGUUGAUAGGCUGGGUGUGUAAGCGCAGUGAUGCGUUGAGCUAACCAGUACUAAUAGCCCGUGAGGCUUGACCAU